CGAGCGGAAACGACAACAUUGACCCUUCGGGUGAUUUGUUGGGCGUCGAGCGGCGGACGGGUGAGUAAUGCCUGGGAAAUUGCCCUGAUGUGGGGGAUAACCAUUGGAAACGAUGGCUAAUACCGCAUAACGUCUACGGACCAAAGAGGGGGACCUUCGGGCCUCUCGCUUCAGGAUAUGCCCAGGUGGGAUUAGCUAGUUGGUGAGGUAAUGGCUCACCAAGGCGACGAUCCCUAGCUGGUCUGAGAGGAUGAUCAGCCACACUGGAACUGAGACACGGUCCAGACUCCUACGGGAGGCAGCAGUGGGGAAUAUUGCACAAUGGGCGCAAGCCUGAUGCAGCCAUGCCGCGUGUAUGAAGAAGGCCUUCGGGUUGUAAAGUACUUUCAGUCGUGAGGAAGGCGUUGAAGUUAAUAGCUUCAUCGUUUGACGUUAGCGACAGAAGAAGCACCGGCUAACUCCGUGCCAGCAGCCGCGGUAAUACGGAGGGUGCGAGCGUUAAUCGGAAUUACUGGGCGUAAAGCGCAUGCAGGUGGUUUGUUAAGUCAGAUGUGAAAGCCCGGGGCUCAACCUCGGAACCGCAUUUGAAACUGGCAGGCUAGAGUACUGUAGAGGGGGGUAGAAUUUCAGGUGUAGCGGUGAAAUGCGUAGAGAUCUGAAGGAAUACCAGUGGCGAAGGCGGCCCCCUGGACAGAUACUGACACUCAGAUGCGAAAGCGUGGGGAGCAAACAGGAUUAGAUACCCUGGUAGUCCACGCCGUAAACGAUGUCUACUUGGAGGUUGUGGCCUUGAGCCGUGGCUUUCGGAGCUAACGCGUUAAGUAGACCGCCUGGGGAGUACGGUCGCAAGAUUAAAACUCAAAUGAAUUGACGGGGGCCCGCACAAGCGGUGGAGCAUGUGGUUUAAUUCGAUGCAACGCGAA
Molecule: ribosomal RNA, 923 nt
Filed under: Vibrio sp. BL88
Lineage: Bacteria; Pseudomonadati; Pseudomonadota; Gammaproteobacteria; Vibrionales; Vibrionaceae
Description: bacterial SSU rRNA
Rfam family: Bacterial small subunit ribosomal RNA
Source: RNAcentral